Molecule: ribosomal RNA, 963 nt
Filed under: Triticum aestivum (bread wheat)
Lineage: Eukaryota; Viridiplantae; Streptophyta; Magnoliopsida; Poales; Poaceae
Description: partial small subunit ribosomal RNA
Source: RNAcentral
AUGGCUGUCCAGGCGCGGUUCCUCUCCCACGCCUUCCCCCACGACCUCAAGGCCUAUAGGUCCAUGGAUGCCUCGGCGCCGGGUAACUCCCAGUUCCUGGACGAGCAAGCCGCGGUGGCGUGUAUUGGGAACAACACGGUGCUCAGCGAUCUCCCGCGAAGCGAGCUCACAUGCAACGACAACUACGGAUUCGCGCCGAGGAAGCGGGCGCGCAUGGCCGGGGACGAGCCGGCGGGACUCGCCGACCUUGCCCGGCAGCGCUUGCUUCUGCAGCAGGCGGCGGCGAUGCACGGACUCAUGCUGCCUUGCGAUGCGCAGAGCAGGGCGGUCGGCUCCGGCGCGGCCUCCACCAGCGGGAGGGUGGCCAAUGCCGCGGGCCUCAACACGCUGCUCUACAACCAGGGCGUGGAGAUGGACGCGCUCAUCCGGCUCGAGACCGAGAGAAUUCGCGCGGGGCUUGAGGAGGCGCGCCGGCGACACGCGAGGGCCGCGUUGGCUACUGUGGAGCGCGCUGCGGCGGGGCGGCUUCAGGCCGUAGAGGCUGAACUGGAGCGCGCGCGCUACCGCAACGGCGAACUGGAGGAGUGGCUCCGGCAGAUGACCGCAGAGGGCCAGGCGUGGCUCGGCGUCGCCAAGAGCCACGAGGCCGUCGCGGCCGGCCUCCGCACGACGCUGGACCAGCUGCUGCAGCCCCCCUGCGCUGUCGCCGGGACUGCUGAGGGCGAUGCCGACGACGCGCAGUCCUGCUGCUUCGAGACCCCAGCGGGGGACAACGCCGACGACGCGGCGUCCAAGGCGGUCGCGGCGGCUCCGUCGUGCAAGGCCUGCGGUCAGGCGGACGCCUGCGUUCUGCUGCUCCCGUGCCGGCACCUGUCCCUGUGCGGUGCGUGCGAGCCCUCCGUGGACACCUGCCCCGUGUGCGCGGCCACCAAGAACGCCUCGCUCCAUGUCCUCCUUUCCUGA